GACAGAGGGUGCAAGCGUUGUCCGGAUUGACUGGGUGUAAAGGGCGUGUAGGUGGUCAGAUAAGUCCGUUGUGAAAACAACACCGCUUAACGGGUUGUCCGCAUCGGAAACUGUUUGACUUGAGUGCAGAAGAGGGAAACGGAAUUCCCGGUGUAGCGGUGGAAUGUGUAGAUAUCGGGAGGAACACCAGUGGCGAAGGCGGUUUCCUGGUCUGUAACUGACGCUGAGGCGCGAAAGCUAGGGGAGUAAACGGG
Molecule: ribosomal RNA, 254 nt
Filed under: uncultured bacterium
Lineage: Bacteria
Description: partial 16S ribosomal RNA
Rfam family: Bacterial small subunit ribosomal RNA
Source: RNAcentral